UUUAUGGAGAGUUUGAUCCUGGCUCAGGAUGAACGCUGGCGGCGCGCCUAAUACAUGCAAGUCGAGCGAACGGACGAGAAGCUUGCUUCUCUGAUGUUAGCGGCGGACGGGUGAGUAACACGUGGAUAACCUACCUAUAAGACUGGGAUAACUUCGGGAAACCGGAGCUAAUACCGGAUAAUAUUUUGAACCGCAUGGUUCAAAAGUGAAAGACGGUCUUACUGUCACUUAUAGAUGGAUCCGCGCUGCAUUAGCUAGUUGGUAAGGUAACGGCUUACCAAGGCAACGAUGCAUAGCCGACCUGAGAGGGUGAUCGGCCACACUGGAACUGAGACACGGUCCAGACUCCUACGGGAGGCAGCAGUAGGGAAUCUUCCGCAAUGGGCGAAAGCCUGACGGAGCAACGCCGCGUGAGUGAUGAAGGUCUUCGGAUCGUAAAACUCUGUUAUUAGGGAAGAACAUAUGUGUAAGUAACUGUGCACAUCUUGACGGUACCUAAUCAGAAAGCCACGGCUAACUACGUGCCAGCAGCCGCGGUAAUACGUAGGUGGCAAGCGUUAUCCGGAAUUAUUGGGCGUAAAGCGCGCGUAGGCGGUUUUUUAAGUCUGAUGUGAAAGCCCACGGCUCAACCGUGGAGGGUCAUUGGAAACUGGAAAACUUGAGUGCAGAAGAGGAAAGUGGAAUUCCAUGUGUAGCGGUGAAAUGCGCAGAGAUAUGGAGGAACACCAGUGGCGAAGGCGACUUUCUGGUCUGUAACUGACGCUGAUGUGCGAAAGCGUGGGGAUCAAACAGGAUUAGAUACCCUGGUAGUCCACGCCGUAAACGAUGAGUGCUAAGUGUUAGGGGGUUUCCGCCCCUUAGUGCUGCAGCUAACGCAUUAAGCACUCCGCCUGGGGAGUACGACCGCAAGGUUGAAACUCAAAGGAAUUGACGGGGACCCGCACAAGCGGUGGAGCAUGUGGUUUAAUUCGAAGCAACGCGAAGAACCUUACCAAAUCUUGACAUCCUUUGACAACUCUAGAGAUAGAGCUUUCCCCUUCGGGGGACAAAGUGACAGGUGGUGCAUGGUUGUCGUCAGCUCGUGUCGUGAGAUGUUGGGUUAAGUCCCGCAACGAGCGCAACCCUUAAGCUUAGUUGCCAUCAUUAAGUUGGGCACUCUAAGUUGACUGCCGGUGACAAACCGGAGGAAGGUGGGGAUGACGUCAAAUCAUCAUGCCCCUUAUGAUUUGGGCUACACACGUGCUACAAUGGACAAUACAAAGGGCAGCGAAACCGCGAGGUCAAGCAAAUCCCAUAAAGUUGUUCUCAGUUCGGAUUGUAGUCUGCAACUCGACUACAUGAAGCUGGAAUCGCUAGUAAUCGUAGAUCAGCAUGCUACGGUGAAUACGUUCCCGGGUCUUGUACACACCGCCCGUCACACCACGAGAGUUUGUAACACCCGAAGCCGGUGGAGUAACCUUUUAGGAGCUAGCCGUCGAAGGUGGGACAAAUGAUUGGGGUGAAGUCGUAACAAGGUAGCCGUAUCGGAAGGUGCGGCUGGAUCACCUCCUUUCUA
RNAcentral lists this ribosomal RNA (1555 nucleotides) under Staphylococcus aureus. Its description in RNAcentral is "16S ribosomal RNA". It matches the Rfam family "Bacterial small subunit ribosomal RNA". Lineage: Bacteria; Bacillati; Bacillota; Bacilli; Caryophanales; Staphylococcaceae. The record is from RNAcentral.